UCAUGCUUACAACAUAGUCUUAAUGCAUCAUAUCUCAUUAGAUCUCUGUAGUUAAGCACACUCAUGCUAGAUUAGUAUUGGGAUGGAUGACCACCCAGGAAGUCCUAGUGUUUUACAUGCC
This is a non-coding RNA of Picea glauca (white spruce), 121 nucleotides long. Lineage: Eukaryota; Viridiplantae; Streptophyta; Pinopsida; Pinales; Pinaceae. The record is from Rfam.